Long non-coding RNA from Chinchilla lanigera (long-tailed chinchilla), 602 nucleotides. Ensembl lists it as uncharacterized. NCBI's taxonomy places the organism in Eukaryota, Metazoa, Chordata, Mammalia, Rodentia, Chinchillidae. The record is from Ensembl.
UGAAAAGGUGGCCUGCCAUAAGAAGCGGACGAGUUCAUUUUACUGUCACUCCGACUGGGUUGAGACUCCUAGAGAAACGGCUGGAUCAUGGGGCCACUGCAUUCAGCGGUGGAUUAACCCCAUGACGCUGGGUGCAGGGCUUGGAUCUGGGAGAGGCUGGUCACCCCAGCGCGGCUUCGGGGCGCGCAUCUCUGCAAAGUGCUCGUCCUCACUGUCCAGAGUUUCCAAUGCAACUUUGGGUGCCAAUAUGUACAACAUUUCACUGUACAAGAGUGUAUUUAUCAAGUUGCUGUAUUCUCCAGCCAAUGCCAAUGAAGAAAAGUGAUUGCGUCUCUCUCUUCACAAACUGUGGGUGGAGAGACACUUCAAAAUGAACUAAGCACGCAUCAGUGAGCUUCAAAUGAAUGACUCAUCCUGAAGGUGGAAGUGUUACCUUUUAUUCCAAGGCUUAUAAUUGACAGAGUUUUUCAGAGUAAUUCAUAAAGCACAGACUAUAUAAUAUUGGAAUGUUUUAUGGUAAUGAAGGAUCUUUUUUCAGUAAAAGAAUUGCAAAAAUGAUCAUUAAGCAGCAUUUUAUAUACGAUUUUGUUACAUAAGAUUUU